GAUGAAGAACGCAGCGAAAUGUGAUACUUGGUGUGAAUUGCAGAAUCCCGUGAACCAUCGAGUCUUUGAACGCAAGUUGCGCCCGAAGCCACUAGGCCGAGGGCACGCCUGCCUGGGCGUCACACGCCGUUGCCCCCCCAUCUACUCCUUCGGGAUUGCGGGGGGGCGGAUGAUGGCCUCCCGUGCGCCUAGCCGCGCGGUUGGCAUAAAUACCAAGUCCUCGGCGACGCACGCCACGACAAUCGGUGGUUGCGAAACCUCGGUUGCCCGUCGUGUGCGUUCGUCGCGCAUCGAGGGCUCGAAAAAAUGCUCGGCUCCGGCUGGGCUUUCAACGCGACCCCAGGUCAGGCGGGGUUACCCGCUGAAUUUAAGCAUAUCAAUAAGCGGAGGA
This 391-nucleotide unclassified non-coding RNA is filed under the name soil metagenome. RNAcentral's name for it is "partial contains 5.8S ribosomal RNA, internal transcribed spacer 2, and large subunit ribosomal RNA". The stretch from base 1 to 122 matches the Rfam family "5.8S ribosomal RNA", at positions 35 to 154 of the family's 154-position model. The record is from RNAcentral.